Molecule: ribosomal RNA, 803 nt
Filed under: uncultured bacterium
Lineage: Bacteria
Description: partial 16S ribosomal RNA
Source: RNAcentral
GCGUGGACUACCAGGGUAUCUAAUCCUGUUUGCUACCCACGCUUUCGCACCUCAGUGUCAGUAUCGGUCCAGGUAGUCGCCUUCGCCACUGGUGUUCCUUCCGAUCUCUACGCAUUUCACCGCUACACCGGAAAUUCCACUACCCUCUACCGUACUCUAGCUCAGCAGUAUCAGGUGCAGUUCCCAGAUUGAGCCCGGGGCUUUCACAUCUGACUGACUGAACCACCUACGCGCGCUUUACGCCCAGUAAUUCCGAUUAACGCUCGGACCCUCCGUAUUACCGCGGCUGCUGGCACGGAGUUAGCCGGUCCUUCUUCUGCUGUUAACGUCACAGUAAGCGGGUAUUAACCACUCGCCUUUCCUCACAGCUGAAAGUGCUUUACAACCCGAAGGCCUUCUUCACACACGCGGCAUGGCUGGAUCAGGGUUGCCCCCAUUGUCCAAUAUUCCCCACUGCUGCCUCCCGUAGGAGUCUGGGCCGUGUCUCAGUCCCAGUGUGGCUGGUCAUCCUCUCAGACCAGCUACGGAUCAUCGCCUUGGUGAGCCUUUACCUCACCAACAAGCUAAUCCGACGCGGGCUCAUCUGAUAGCGUGAGGUCCGAAGAUCCCCCACUUUCCCCCGAAGGGCGUAUGCGGUAUUAGCAGUCGUUUCCGACUGUUGUCCCCCACUACCAGGUAGAUUCCCACGCGUUACUCACCCGUCCGCCGCUCGUCACCCAAGAAGCAAGCUUCUCUGUGCUACCGCUCGACUUGCAUGUGUUAGGCCUGCCGCCAGCGUUCAAUCUGAGCCAGGAUCAAACUCU